RNAcentral lists this unclassified non-coding RNA (265 nucleotides) under Hevea brasiliensis (rubber tree). The record is from RNAcentral. Lineage: Eukaryota; Viridiplantae; Streptophyta; Magnoliopsida; Malpighiales; Euphorbiaceae.
GGGCUUAAAAGCAGGAACUGAAGCUGAUAGUGUCAGUGUACACAUUCCCAUAAAGUAGAUAAUAGAGAAGGUAGCAAUUGUCCAAUAUCUUCCCCAAUAUGUAUCUGCCAUCACAGCCCCAAUGAGGGGUGUUAGGUAACACGUGCCUUGCCAAAUUGUGACAUUUCUAGCAGCUGAGACAUUUCCCUCAUGUAAUUUCUUGGUAAGAUAGGUAACAAGAUUAAGACAAAUGCCAUAGUACGCCAAACGUUCACAACAUUCAUUA